RNAcentral lists this ribosomal RNA (177 nucleotides) under Desulforamulus reducens. Its description in RNAcentral is "Desulfotomaculum reducens partial 16S ribosomal RNA". It matches the Rfam family "Bacterial small subunit ribosomal RNA", at positions 334 to 525 of the family's 1533-position model. Lineage: Bacteria; Bacillati; Bacillota; Clostridia; Eubacteriales; Peptococcaceae. The record is from RNAcentral.
UACUCCUACGGGAGGCAGCAGGGGGGAAUCUUCCGCAAUGGGCGAAAGCCUGACGGAGCAACGCCGCGUGAGGGAAGAAGGCCUUCGGGUUGUAAACCUCUGUUUUCAGGGAAGAAAAAAAUGACGGUACCUGAAGAGUAAGCUCCGGCUAACUACGUGCCAGCAGCCGCGGUAAUA